This 314-nucleotide ribosomal RNA is filed under the name uncultured Helotiales. RNAcentral's name for it is "partial large subunit ribosomal RNA". It matches the Rfam family "Eukaryotic large subunit ribosomal RNA", at positions 40 to 350 of the family's 3401-position model. Lineage: Eukaryota; Fungi; Ascomycota; Leotiomycetes; Helotiales. The record is from RNAcentral.
AUAUCAAUAAGCGGAGGAAAAGAAACUAACAAGGAUUCCCCUAGUAACGGCGAGUGAAGCGGCAACAGCUCAAAUUUGAAAUCUGGCUCUUUCAGGGUCCGAGUUGUAAUUUGUAGAAGAUGCUUUGGGUGUGGCUCCGGUCUAAGUUCCUUGGAACAGGACGUCAUAGAGGGUGAGAAUCCCGUACGUGACUGGGUGCCUUCGCUCGUGUAAAGCUCUUUCGACGAGUCGAGUUGUUUGGGAAUGCAGCUCAAAAUGGGUGGUGAACUCCAUCUAAAGCUAAAUAUUGGCGAGAGACCGAUAGCGCACAAGUA